AGCUUUGCGCAGUGGCAGUAUUGUAGCCAAUGAGGUUUGUCCGAGGCGCGAUUAUUGCUAAUUGAUUAUUGCUAAUUGAAAUAUGAAGUGAGUCCCUUCAGUGUAACUGUGCUAUCAGCCAGAACACU
RNAcentral lists this small nuclear RNA (128 nucleotides) under Tupaia belangeri (northern tree shrew). Its description in RNAcentral is "U4 spliceosomal RNA (ENSTBEG00000020429.1)". It matches the Rfam family "U4 spliceosomal RNA". From Rfam's summary of the family: U4 small nuclear RNA (U4 snRNA) is a component of the major U2-dependent spliceosome. The structure of U4 snRNA from yeast and human has been reported. The record is from RNAcentral. Lineage: Eukaryota; Metazoa; Chordata; Mammalia; Scandentia; Tupaiidae.